This is a non-coding RNA of Hordeum vulgare subsp. vulgare (domesticated barley), 124 nucleotides long. The record is from Rfam. NCBI's taxonomy places the organism in Eukaryota, Viridiplantae, Streptophyta, Magnoliopsida, Poales, Poaceae.
AUACUACUCCCUCCGUCCGGAAAUACUUGUCUCAGAGAUGAAUGUACCUAGACUUAUUUUAGUUAUAGAUACAUCAAUUAUAUCUAUUUCUAGGACAAGUAUUUCCGGACGAAGGGAGUAUUAU